UGGGGAAUAUUGGACAAUGGGCGCAAGCCUGAUCCAGCAAUACCGCGUGAGUGAUGAAGGUCUUCGGAUUGUAAAGCUCUUUUAGUAGGGAAGAUAAUGACGGUACCUACAGAAAAAGCACCGGCAAACUUCGUGCCAGCAGCCGCGGUAAUACGAAGGGUGCUAGCGUUGUUCGGAAUCAUUGGGCGUAAAGCGUACGUAGGCGGCUUUGUAAGUCGAUUGUGAAAGCCCUGAGCUUAACUCAGCGAAUUGCAAUCGAUACUGCUUUGCUAGAAUUUGGUAGGGGAUGGCGGAAUUCCUAGUGUAGGGGUGAAAUCCGUAGAGAUUAGGAGGAACAUCAGUGGCGAAGGCGGCCAUCUAUGCCAAUAUUGACGCUAAGGUACUAAAGCGUGGGGAGCAA
This 400-nucleotide ribosomal RNA is filed under the name uncultured bacterium. RNAcentral describes it as "bacterial SSU rRNA". It matches the Rfam family "Bacterial small subunit ribosomal RNA", at positions 355 to 771 of the family's 1533-position model. The record is from RNAcentral.